GGUUUUUGGUUCCUCUUCAGUGCGAAUAAAUCUUUCGCCUUUUACUAAAGACUUCUGUGGAGAGAAGCCAAACAGUUUACUAAUAACUCAUUUUUUUUUUGGAAAUCGCAUCAUUUCAA
Molecule: small nuclear RNA, 119 nt
Organism: Leptinotarsa decemlineata (Colorado potato beetle)
Lineage: Eukaryota; Metazoa; Arthropoda; Insecta; Coleoptera; Chrysomelidae
Product: U5 spliceosomal RNA
Source: RefSeq, a predicted model, not a curated record